GACGAACGCUGGCGGCGUGCCUAAUACAUGCAAGUCGAACGCUUCUUUCCUCCCGUUUGCUUGCCCUCCAUUGGAAAGCGGAGUUGCGGACCGGUGAGUAACACGUGCGUAACCUACCCAUCAGCGUGGGAUAACACUUGGAAACAGGUGCUAAUACCGCAUAACAGUUUAUGCCGCAUGGCAUAAGAGUGAAAGGCGCUUUCGGGUGUCGCUGAUGGCUGGACCCGCGGUGCAUUAGCUAGUUGGUGAGGUAACGGCUCACCAAGGCCACGAUGCAUAGCCGACCUGAGAGGGUGAUCGGCCACACUGGGACUGAGACACGGCCCAGACUCCUACGGGAGGCAGCAGUAGGGAAUCUUCGGCAAUGGACGAAAGUCUGACCGAGCAACGCCGCGUGAGUGAAGAAGGUUUUCGGAUCGUAAAACUCUGUUGUUAGAGAAGAACAAGGACGUUAGUAACUGAACGUCCCCUGACGGUAUCUAACCAGAAAGCCACGGCUAACUACGUG
Molecule: ribosomal RNA, 508 nt
Filed under: uncultured bacterium
Lineage: Bacteria
Description: partial 16S ribosomal RNA
Rfam family: Bacterial small subunit ribosomal RNA
Source: RNAcentral